UACGGAGGAUGCGAGCGUUAUCCGGAUUUAUUGGGUUUAAAGGGUGCGUAGGCGGGCUUUUAAGUCAGCGGUAAAAAUUCGGGGCUCAACCCCGUCCGGCCGUUGAAACUGGGGGCCUUGAGUGGGCGAGAAGAAGGCGGAAUGCGUGGUGUAGCGGUGAAAUGCAUAGAUAUCACGCAGAACCCCGAUUGCGAAGGCAGCCUUCCGGCGCCCUACUGACGCUGAGGCACGGAAGUGCGGGGAUCGAACAGG
RNAcentral lists this ribosomal RNA (252 nucleotides) under uncultured bacterium. RNAcentral describes it as "partial 16S ribosomal RNA". It matches the Rfam family "Bacterial small subunit ribosomal RNA", at positions 524 to 776 of the family's 1533-position model. The record is from RNAcentral.